This 855-nucleotide ribosomal RNA is filed under the name uncultured archaeon. RNAcentral's name for it is "bacterial SSU rRNA". It matches the Rfam family "Archaeal small subunit ribosomal RNA", at positions 61 to 922 of the family's 1478-position model. The record is from RNAcentral.
AUUGUAGCAAUACAAGGCAUACGGCUCAGUAACGCGUAGUCAACCUAACCUAUGGACGGGAAUAACCUCGGGAAACUGAGAAUAAUGCCCGAUAGAACAUUAUACCUGGAAUGGUUUAUGUUCCAAAUGAUUUAUCGCCGUAGGAUGGGACUGCGGCCUAUCAGUUUGUUGGUGAGGUAAUGGCCCACCAAGACUAUUACAGGUACGGGCUCUGAGAGGAGUAGCCCGGAGAUGGGUACUGAGACACGGACCCAGGCCCUAUGGGGCGCAGCAGGCGAGAAAACUUUGCAAUGUGCGAAAGCACGACAAGGUUAAUCCGAGUGAUUUCUGCUAAAGAAAUCUUUUGUUAGUCCUAGAAACACUAACGAAUAAGGGGUGGGCAAGUUCUGGUGUCAGCCGCCGCGGUAAAACCAGCACCUCAAGUGGUCAGGAUGAUUAUUGGGCCUAAAGCAUCCGUAGCCGGCUCUGUAAGUUUUCGGUUAAAUCUGUACGCUUAACGUACAGGCCGCCGGGAAUACUGCAAAGCUAGGGAGUGGGAGAAGUAGACGGUACUCGGUAGGAAGUGGUAAAAUGCUUUGAUCUAUCGAUGACCACCUGUGGCGAAGGCGGUCUACUAGAACACGUCCGACGGUGAGGGAUGAAAGCUGGGGGAGCAAACCGGAUUAGAUACCCGGGUAGUCCCAGCUGUAAACUAUGCAAACUCAGUGAUGCAUUGGCUUGUGGCCAAUGCAGUGCUGCAGGGAAGCCGUUAAGUUUGCCGCCUGGGAAGUACGUACGCAAGUAUGAACUUAAAGGAAUUGGCGGGGGAGCACCACAAGGGGUGAAGCCUGCGGUUCAAUUGGAUUCAACGCCGGG